UACGUAGGGGGCAAGCGUUGUCCGGAUUUAUUGGGCGUAAAGAGCGUGUAGGCGGCCUGAAAGGUCAGCUGUGAAAACUCGAGGCUCAACCUCGAGACGUCGGCUGAAACCAUCUGGCUAGAGUCCGGAAGAGGAGUGUGGAAUUCCCGGUGUAGCGGUGAAAUGCGCAGAUAUCGGGAAGAACACCCGUGGCGAAGGCGGCACUCUGGGACGGUACUGACGCUGAGACGCGAAAGCGUGGGGAGCGAACAGG
Molecule: ribosomal RNA, 253 nt
Filed under: uncultured bacterium
Lineage: Bacteria
Description: partial 16S ribosomal RNA
Rfam family: Bacterial small subunit ribosomal RNA
Source: RNAcentral